AGAACGAACGCUGGCGGCAUGCCUAAUACAUGCAAGUCGAACGAACACUUCGGUGUUAGUGGCGCACGGGUGCGUAACGCGUGGGAAUCUGCCCUUGGGUUCGGAAUAACAGUUGGAAACGACUGCUAAUACCGGAUGAUAUCGAAAGAUCAAAGAUUUAUCGCCCAGGGAUGAGCCCGCGUAGGAUUAGCUAGUUGGUGAGGUAAAGGCUCACCAAGGCGACGAUCCUUAGCUGGUCUGAGAGGAUGAUCAGCCACACUGGGACUGAGACACGGCCCAGACUCCUACGGGAGGCAGCAGUAGGGAAUAUUGGACAAUGGGCGCAAGCCUGAUCCAGCAAUGCCGCGUGAGUGAUGAAGGCCUUAGGGUUGUAAAGCUCUUUACCCGAGAUGAUAAUGACAGUAUCGGAGAAUAAGCCCCGCUAACUCCGUGCCAGCAGCCGCGGU
RNAcentral lists this ribosomal RNA (446 nucleotides) under uncultured soil bacterium. Its description in RNAcentral is "bacterial SSU rRNA". It matches the Rfam family "Bacterial small subunit ribosomal RNA", at positions 26 to 521 of the family's 1533-position model. The record is from RNAcentral.